GACGAACGCUGGCGGCGUGGAUUAGGCAUGCAAGUCGAACGGUAGGAUACCUUCGGGUAUCUGAGAGUGGCGAACGGGUGAGUAACACGUAGGUGAUCUACCCUCAAGAUUGGGACAACCCAGGGAAACUUGGGCUAAUACCGGAUGAAAGCAGCAGUGAUGUUGUUUGAAAGGUGGCGUAAGCUGCCGUUUGGGGAUGAGCCUGCGCUCUAUUAGUUAGUUGGCGGGGUAAAGGCCCACCAAGGCGAUGAUAGAUAGGCGGCCUUAACGGGUGGUCGCCCACACUGGGAUUGAGAUACGGCCCAGACUCCUACGGGAGGCAGCAGUCGAGAAUAGUCUACAAUGGCCGAAAGGCUGAUAGUGCGACGCCGCGUGAACGAAGAAGCCCUUCGGGGUGUAAAGUUCUUUUAUAUGUGAGCAGUGCUUUCUAUGUGAACAGCAUGGGGAGAGAGAUAUUAGCAUAUGAAUAAGCAACGGCUAAACUCCGUGCC
Molecule: ribosomal RNA, 491 nt
Filed under: uncultured bacterium
Lineage: Bacteria
Description: bacterial SSU rRNA
Rfam family: Bacterial small subunit ribosomal RNA
Source: RNAcentral